GGGUAAGGGGCACACAGAGCAGGCCGUGAGUGACUGUGCCAUGUGCUAGACCCUCCUCCAACCUGGGGAACUGUGGUUGUCAUAUCAGUCAGCCUUCGGGUUUGCAGCUGCUGUUGUUGAAUGCCAGGUGAUUCUGUCAUAUAAUAGUGAAUUCUGUCCUUCUUGGUAUAAUGAAGACACCAUUGAUGAUGUGCUCAUUUCUAUCAAUAUGACACAAUCAACAAGAGAACACUAAAACACAAACAACUUCUUUUUGCAGAAU
Molecule: long non-coding RNA, 262 nt
Organism: Lacerta agilis (Sand lizard)
Lineage: Eukaryota; Metazoa; Chordata; Lepidosauria; Squamata; Lacertidae
Exons: 3
Source: RefSeq, a predicted model, not a curated record